CAGCAGCCACGGUAAUACGGAGGGGGCUAGCGUUGUUCGGAAUUACUGGGCGUAAAGCGCACGUAGGCGGCUUGGUAAGUUAGAGGUGAAAGCCUGGAGCUCAACUCCAGAAUUGCCUUUAAGACUGCCGAGCUAGCAGGUGAGAGAGGUAAGUGGAAUUCCGAGUGUAGAGGUGAAAUUCGUAGAUAUUCGGAAGAACACCAGUGGCGAAGGCGGCUUACUGGCUCAUACUGGACGCUGAGGUGCGAAAGCGUGGGGAGCAAACAGGAUUAGAUACCCCGGUAGUCCCUGUCUCUUAUAC
RNAcentral lists this ribosomal RNA (301 nucleotides) under uncultured bacterium. Its description in RNAcentral is "partial 16S ribosomal RNA". It matches the Rfam family "Bacterial small subunit ribosomal RNA", at positions 509 to 807 of the family's 1533-position model. The record is from RNAcentral.